CUGGUAUCCUGCAGUGGAUUCUCCAGAUGGGCCUCCGCUGCCUUCACUACCUGCUGCAGGCUUUUGGCAUGAAAAGGUCUUUAAGGCAAAUCCACCUGGAGGGAGAAUGCACAGACCUUGAAGAGAGGGGAGUGGACAUGAGAGGAGAGGGCUUCUUCCAUGAAUGGAAGCAGGUGAGGACUUCACCAGAAGAAGAUGCUGAUGCCAUCCUGCCUGUACAGCCUGAAAAAGAACUGAAUGGAAAUGAGGAUACAGAGAAUUCAAAAAGGGGAGCCACGUGAGGACUAUGAGGAGGUAGCCAUCUACAAGACGAGAUGAGAGGCCUCAGAAGAAACCAAACCUAUAGACACCUUCAUCUUUGACUUCUGGCCUGGAAAACUGUGAGAAAUUUUCUAUUUUUUAAGCUACCCUGUCUGUGAUAUUUUACAGCUUUAGAAAACCUGGCAGCUUUAGAAAACAAGUACACUGCCCAUUACUGCAAAAAGUGUUUUGGAGAAAAACCUAAUUUUUGUGAGUCUGUGGCUUUCAGUGCUAUACUAGGGCAGUGACACCUUAGCUAAUAAACAUACCGAGAGAUUUUGAGGGAUAUAAAUAUGGUAUAAAAUAUAUUCUGUUGAAUUAUAAAUAAUAAUUUAUAUUUUUAAUCUUGCUGUGGAACUUUAAGAAUUUAAAUAUUGGUCCAGACCUGGCCGAAUGUCCC
This 700-nucleotide long non-coding RNA is filed under the name Callithrix jacchus (white-tufted-ear marmoset). RNAcentral's name for it is "lncRNA (ENSCJAG00000063923.2)". The record is from RNAcentral. Lineage: Eukaryota; Metazoa; Chordata; Mammalia; Primates; Cebidae.